RNAcentral lists this ribosomal RNA (483 nucleotides) under uncultured bacterium. RNAcentral's name for it is "partial 16S ribosomal RNA". It matches the Rfam family "Bacterial small subunit ribosomal RNA", at positions 30 to 507 of the family's 1533-position model. The record is from RNAcentral.
UUGCACGCUGGCGGCCGGCCUCACCCCUGCAAGUCGCGCGGAUGAAGGGAGCUUGCUCCUGGCUUCAGCGGCGGACGGGUGAGUAAUGCCUAGGAAUCUGCCUGGUAGUGGGGGAUAACGUCCGGAAACGGGCGCUAAUACCGCAUACGUCCUGAGGGAGAAAGUGGGGGAUCUUCGGACCUCACGCUAUCAGCUGAGCCUAGGUCGGAUUAGCUAGUUGGUGGGGUAAAGGCCUACCAAGGCGACGAUCCGUAACUGGUCUGAGAGGAUGAUCAGUCACACUGGAACUGAGACACGGUCCAGACUCCUACGGGAGGCAGCAGUGGGGAAUAUUGGACAAUGGGCGAAAGCCUGAUCCAGCCAUGCCGCGUGUGUGAAGAAGGUCUUCGGAUUGUAAAGCACUUUAAGUUGGGAGGAAGGGCAGUAAGUUAAUACCUUGCUGUUUUGACGUUACCAACAGAAUAAGCACCGGCUAACUUCGUG